GCCGCCCCUCCUCGGCGCCGCGCCGCUGCCCGCGCGGGCCGCCUAGAGCUCCCGGGCCGCCCCGCGACCGGGGGCCUCUCUCGCGGGGCGCCCGGCUCCCCUCACCCGCUCCCGCCCCCUGGGCGGCCGUGGAGUCGCGGGGAGGGCGGGAAGGGCCUCCCGAGGAGAGCGGGCGGGCGCGAACGCGGGCUCCGCCACCCGAGCCGCUCCGUUACCGCAGCGGCGACGACGACCAGGGCCGUGUUGUUGCUGCCAACUUGUCGAAAGGACACUGAGCAUGCGCGCACGGAGACCACAUCCGGGAGGCAUGCAAGCAAGAAAUUUUGAAGACCACAGUGCCAAGGCACUCCAGGGGACCUAAGCCACCACCUUUCCGGAGACUUCUUCAGCUCUAUAGGAGGCCAAAGACUUGAUGAAGAAGAGCGAAGAUGGGUAGAGCCAAUGCUCCAUUUUAUUUAUUUAUUUAAAUCUACUAAAAAGCUACAAUAGCUGCUAUCCAUGCCAGAUCCAGCAAGGGUGACAGAGGCAGCUGUGAACAGAAUCCGAAGUGGGGGAAAGGGGUUGGGCAGGCAGGAAGGAAUUACGUGGGAGGGGAAGGGAAAUCACAGCCCACCUUUGUCUGGCUGCAGUCCUCUAAGUACUAACAGAGACCAAGAGGCAGCUGAAAGCAAGGGACAGGAGCAGUACACACCCCUCUGUCAGCCCUAACCAUUCACACAAUGCACAUUUUUAUUCAAUACGGACCAGGUACCAAGUACUAAGGGAUUCAGAGAGAAAUCUAUAGCACAUGCCCUUGAGUAGUGCCGAGUCUAGUGGGGGAAGAGUGAAGUGUUAAUAGAUAAUUCUGAUGAGGUGGACACAGAAUGCUGUGAAAAAACAAAGAAGGAGCAACCUAAUCUUGCCAGAGUUCAGAAGCCUUCACAAGAAAGUGACAUUUGAGCUGGACUUGGAGGGAAAAUAGGAGUUUGCCAGUAGAAUAGGAUUGAGUGAAGACUUUCAGGGCAGAGAAAACAGGCUACAGAUAUGAAAGUGAUUGGUGUGUUUGUGGAAUUCAAUAUAUAGCCGUAGGUAUACCUGUCAUAUACAAACAAAGCAAAACGCAAUACACCACGUUCAAGAGGGUACAUAUUACAGCGUUGUUGGCCUUAACAGACUGUUGGAAAUAACUCAAAUGUUUACCAAAAGGAGACUGGAUAAAUAAACUAUGGCACAUCCAUACAAUGGAAGACUAGAUAGCUGUAAUUUAAGUGGAAGUUUUCACUGUACCCGUAUGGAAAGAUCUCAAAGGUUUACUGCCAAAUGACAAUGCAAAGUCCAAAACAAUGUGUAUAUUAUGCUAUCUUUUCUAUCAUAAAGGAGGAAAAAUAGUAUAUGUUUAUAACAAUAAUGGUUGUAUGGAGUAGAGUGAGAAUUGGACAGAUGAGGAAUGGAUGGGAGAAAAUUUUUCACUGUAUAACUUCUUUUAUUAUUCAACCAUGUAGAUGCAUUACCUAUUCAAAAAAUUAAACUGAAACUAGAUUCAAACUUGAAAUUCAGAGUGACUGGAAUGUGUAUGCCCUUCCUUUCCUUUAAGACUCUGUCGAUAAUCAGGGUGCCUGGCUGGCUCAGUUGGAAGAGUAUGGGACUCCUGAUCUUGAUC
Molecule: long non-coding RNA, 1639 nt
Organism: Herpailurus yagouaroundi (jaguarundi)
Lineage: Eukaryota; Metazoa; Chordata; Mammalia; Carnivora; Felidae
Exons: 3
Source: RefSeq, a predicted model, not a curated record